Molecule: ribosomal RNA, 2304 nt
Filed under: Acinetobacter baumannii
Lineage: Bacteria; Pseudomonadati; Pseudomonadota; Gammaproteobacteria; Moraxellales; Moraxellaceae
Description: partial 23S ribosomal RNA
Rfam family: Bacterial large subunit ribosomal RNA
Source: RNAcentral
UGUAUAAUGGGUCAGCGACUUAUAUUCAGUAGCGAGGUUAACCGUAUAGGGGAGCCGUAGAGAAAUCGAGUCUUAAUAGGGCGUUUAGUUGCUGGGUAUAGACCCGAAACCAGGCGAUCUAUCCAUGAGCAGGUUGAAGGUUGGGUAACACUAACUGGAGGACCGAACCCACUGUCGUUGAAAAGCCAGGGGAUGACUUGUGGAUAGGGGUGAAAGGCUAAUCAAGCCUGGUGAUAGCUGGUUCUCCCCGAAAGCUAUUUAGGUAGCGCCUCGGACGAAUACCAUAGGGGGUAGAGCACUGUUUCGGCUAGGGGGUCAUCCCGACUUACCAAACCGAUGCAAACUCCGAAUACCUAUGAGUACUAUCCGGGAGACAGACUGCGGGUGCUAACGUCCGUAGUCAAGAGGAAAACAAUCCAGACCGCCAGCUAAGGCCCCAAAAUCAUAGUUAAGUGGGAAACGAUGUGGGAAGGCAUAGACAGCUAGGAGGUUGGCUUAGAAGCAGCCACCCUUUAAAGAAAGCGUAAUAGCUCACUAGUCGAGUCGGCCUGCGCGGAAGAUGUAACGGGGCUAAAACUAUGUGCCGAAGCUGCGGAUGUAUACUUUGUAUACGUGGUAGGGGAGCGUUCUGUAAGCCGAUGAAGGUGUGUUGAGAAGCAUGCUGGAGGUAUCAGAAGUGCGAAUGCUGACGUGAGUAACGACAAAACGGGUGAAAAACCCGUUCGCCGAAAGACCAAGGGUUCCAGUCCAACGUUAAUCGGGGCUGGGUGAGUCGACCCCUAAGGCGAGGCCGAAAGGCGUAGUCGAUGGGAAAAUGGUUAAUAUUCCAUUACUUCUGUGUAAUGCGAUGAGAGGACGGAGAAGGCUAAAUCAGCCUGGCGUUGGUUGUCCAGGUGAAAGGAUGUAGGCAUGUAUCUUAGGCAAAUCCGGGGUACUCUAUGCUGAGAUCUGAUAGCAAGCUGUACUUGUACAGCGAAGUGGUUGAUGCCAUGCUUCCAGGAAAAGUCUCUAAGCUUCAGUUACACAGGAAUCGUACCCGAAACCGACACAGGUGGUCAGGUCGAGUAGACCAAGGCGCUUGAGAGAACUCUGCUGAAGGAACUAGGCAAAAUGGUACCGUAACUUCGGGAGAAGGUACGCUGUUGUUGGUGAUGGAACUCGCUUCCUGAGCUGACGACAGCCGCAGAAACCAGGCCGCUGCAACUGUUUAUUAAAAACAUAGCACUCUGCAAACACGAAAGUGGACGUAUAGGGUGUGAUGCCUGCCCGGUGCUGGAAGGUUAAUUGAUGGGGUUAGCGUAAGCGAAGCUCUUGAUCGAAGCCCCAGUAAACGGCGGCCGUAACUAUAACGGUCCUAAGGUAGCGAAAUUCCUUGUCGGGUAAGUUCCGACCUGCACGAAUGGCAUAAUGAUGGCGGCGCUGUCUCCAGCAGAGGCUCAGUGAAAUCGAAAUCGCUGUGAAGAUGCAGUGUACCCGCGGCUAGACGGAAAGACCCCGUGAACCUUUACUGCAGCUUGACACUGAACUUUGACCUUACUUGUGUAGGAUAGGUGGGAGGCUUUGAAGCUGGAACGCUAGUUCCAGUGGAGCCGUCCUUGAAAUACCACCCUGGUAAUGUUGAGGUUCUAACUCUGUCCCGUGAUCCGGGACGAGGACCGUGUCUGGUGGGUAGUUUGACUGGGGCGGUCUCCUCCUAAAGAGUAACGGAGGAGUACGAAGGUGCGCUCAGCGUGGUCGGAAAUCACGCGUAGAGUAUAAAGGCAAAAGCGCGCUUAACUGCGAGACCCACAAGUCGAGCAGGUACGAAAGUAGGUCUUAGUGAUCCGGUGGUUCUGUAUGGAAGGGCCAUCGCUCAACGGAUAAAAGGUACUCUGGGGAUAACAGGCUGAUACCGCCCAAGAGUUCAUAUCGACGGCGGUGUUUGGCACCUCGAUGUCGGCUCAUCUCAUCCUGGGGCUGAAGCAGGUCCCAAGGGUAUGGCUGUUCGCCAUUUAAAGAGGUACGCGAGCUGGGUUUAGAACGUCGUGAGACAGUUCGGUCCCUAUCUACCGUGGGCGCUGGAAAUUUGAGAGGAUCUGCUCCUAGUACGAGAGGACCAGAGUGGACGAACCUCUGGUGUACCGGUUGUGACGCCAGUCGCAUCGCCGGGUAGCUAUGUUCGGAAGGGAUAACCGCUGAAAGCAUCUAAGCGGGAAGCCUACCUCAAGAUAAGAUUUCCCUAGGACUUUAUGUCCUCUAAAGAGCCGUUCGAGACUAGGACGUUGAUAGGUUGGAUGUGGAAGCAUAGUGAUAUGUGAAGCUGAC